AUUUUCUGAGUACAUGCAGUACAGUUAACUUCCAAUUAACAAACUCUGGUAAAAUCCAGAAGAAAAUA
RNAcentral lists this transfer RNA (68 nucleotides) under Phataginus tetradactyla (long-tailed pangolin). RNAcentral describes it as "Manis tetradactyla (long-tailed pangolin) transfer RNA-Ser (AGY)". Lineage: Eukaryota; Metazoa; Chordata; Mammalia; Pholidota; Manidae. RNAcentral also lists the same sequence under 1 other name. The record is from RNAcentral.